This 465-nucleotide ribosomal RNA is filed under the name uncultured bacterium. RNAcentral describes it as "partial 16S ribosomal RNA". It matches the Rfam family "Bacterial small subunit ribosomal RNA", at positions 338 to 795 of the family's 1533-position model. The record is from RNAcentral.
CCUACGGGUGGCAGCAGUAGGGAAUCUUCCACAAUGGGCGAAAGCCUGAUGGAGCAACGCCGCGUGGGUGAAGAAGGUCUUCGGAUCGUAAAACCCUGUUGUUAGAGAAGAAAGUUCGUGAGAGUAACUGUUCACGUUGCGACGGUCUCUAACCAGAAAGCCACGGCUAACUACGUGCCAGCAGCCGCGGUAAUACGUAGGUGGCAAGCGUUAUCCGGAUUUAAUGGGCGUAAAGUGCACGCAGGCGGUCUUGUAAGUCUGAUGUGAAAGCCUUCGGCUUAACCGGAGUAGGGCAUUGGAAACUGGGAGACUUGAGUGCAGGAGAGGAGAGUGGAAGUCCGUGUGUAGCGGUGAAAUGCGUAGAUAUUAGGAAGAACACCAGUGGCGAAGGCGGCUCUCUGGUCUGUAACUGACGCUGAGGUUCGAAAGCGUGGGUAGCAAACAGGAUUAGAUACCCGGGUAGUC